Molecule: long non-coding RNA, 548 nt
Filed under: Salvia miltiorrhiza (redroot sage)
Lineage: Eukaryota; Viridiplantae; Streptophyta; Magnoliopsida; Lamiales; Lamiaceae
Description: long non-coding RNA (SMIL_LNC009850)
Source: RNAcentral
GACCAACACAUAGUAUGCGACGGGUCGGAUCCAACCCGAUCCGCAUAAAACAUUUAUAUUACAAAUUUUGCCAAAUAAAAUCAAAAAUACUGUGUAGUGCAAUGGUUUGAGGUGUGCCUUCUUUAUCUCAAAGGUCAAAGUUCAAAACUUCCUUUGCCCACUUUUUUNUUUCCUUUUACGUUUUGUUAUGCUUAUUUUUUGUUCCUUUUUUUCUUUGCUUUUUUGUUUUUUCUUUUUGUUGCUUGUUUUUAGUUUUUUUUGUUUCAAUUUUUUAGUUUUUUUUUUCUUUUUGUUAGCUCCUUUAUUUUCUUCUCUUUUUUGUUUAAUUAUUAUUUUCAACACUUUUUUUAAAAAAACUUUUUUCUACUUUUUUUAUUCUUUCUUAAUAUUACCUUUUUUCCAUGUCAAAGGUUAUUUUUUCUUACAACUAUAAUUACUUAACCAAAUAAUUAAAAUUAUAAGUUUUCGUGAGUAAAAAUAACAAUUUUCGUGAAAAAAAUAAUAAUUUUGAACUAUUACAUUUCUUCAUAUGAAUAAUUAUUUUCUUU